This 497-nucleotide ribosomal RNA is filed under the name uncultured bacterium. RNAcentral describes it as "partial 16S ribosomal RNA". It matches the Rfam family "Bacterial small subunit ribosomal RNA", at positions 28 to 507 of the family's 1533-position model. The record is from RNAcentral.
GAUGAACGCUGGCGGCGUGCCUAAUACAUGCAAGUCGAGCGAACAGACGAGGAGCUUGCUCCUCUGACGUUAGCGGCGGACGGGUGAGUAACACGUGGAUAACCUACCUAUAAGACUGGGAUAACUUCGGGAAACCGGAGCUAAUACCGGAUAAUAUAUUGAACCGCAUGGUUCAAUAGUGAAAGUCGGUUUUGCGGUCACUUAAAGAUUGACCCGGGCCGCAUUAACUAGUUGGUACGGUAACGGCUUACCAAGGCAACGAUGCGUACCCGACCCGAGAGGGUGAUCGGACAGCCGGGCACUGAGACACGGUCCAGACUCCUGCGGGAGGCCGCAGUAGGGAAUCUUCCGCGAUGGGCGAGAGCCUGACGGAGCAACGCCGCGGGAGUGAUGAAGGUCUUCGGAUCGUAAAACUCUGUAAUUAGGAGAGUACUAAUGUGUAAGUAACUAUGAACAUAUUGACGGUACCGAGUCAGAAAGCCACGGCUAACUCCGUG